This 708-nucleotide ribosomal RNA is filed under the name Leptogidium dendriscum. Its description in RNAcentral is "SSU rRNA". It matches the Rfam family "Bacterial small subunit ribosomal RNA", at positions 429 to 1213 of the family's 1533-position model. Lineage: Eukaryota; Fungi; Ascomycota; Lecanoromycetes; Peltigerales; Pannariaceae. The record is from RNAcentral.
UACAUUAUCGUGAAUCGAAUAAAGUUCGGGAUAAAAUUAUGAUGAUGACAUUAUUUAUCUUUGUGUCUUGACCAAAUUACGUGCCAGCAGUCGCGGUAAUACGUAGAAGACUAGUGUUAUUCAUCUUUAAUAGGUUUAAAGCGUACCUAGACGGUUGAUAUAACCUAAACAAGGUAUUAUAUCUGACUAGAGUUAUUUAUGUAAUGGCGCUAUAAGGUACUGUUGAGUGUAGAGAUGAAAUGCUAUUAUACCAGAUGAGUGGCACAGAUUGAGGCGAAAGCAUCGUUUUAUGUAAUAACUGACGUUGACGGACGAAGGCUAAAAUACCGAACAGGAUUAGGUACCCUAGUAGUUUAGCAGAAAAUUAUGAAUGUCAUAGGUUAGAUAACAUUUAGUCUAUAAAUGAAAGUGUAAGCAUUCCACCUCAAGAGUAAUAUGGCAACAUAGAAAUUGAAAUCAUUAGACCGUUUCUGAAACCAGUAGUGAAGUAUGUUGUUUAAUUUGAUGAUCCGCAAAAAACCUUACCACAACUUGAAUAAUAAUUUUUACAAGCGUUGCACGGCUGUCUUCAGUUAAUGUCGUGAGAUUUUGGUUAGUUCCAUAAAAUUAACGUAAACCCUUACUUUAUUUUAAAAUAAAGUAGUUCCCCGCUAUAUUGGAUAUGAUAACAGGGACUAAGACAAGUCAUCAUGGCCUUAAUGUUGUGGC